GACUUGACAUCUCGAGAAUUCUCCCUAAUAGGAGAAGUGCCUUAGGGAACUCGAAGACAGGUGGUGCAUGGCUGUCGUCAGCUCGUGUCGUGAGAUGUUGGGUUAAGUCCCGCAACGAGCGCAACCCUCGUUCUUAGUUGCCAGCAUUAAGUUGGGCACUUUAGGAAGACUGCCGGUGACAAACCGGAGGAAGGUGGGGAUGACGUCAAGUCAGCAUGCCCCUUACGUUCUGGGCUACACACGUACUACAAUGGUUGGGACAAAGGGCAGCAAGCGAGCGAUCGCAAGCGAAUCUCAUCAAACCCAGCCUCAGUUCAGAUUGCAGGCUGCAACUCGCCUGCAUGAAGGAGGAAUCGCUAGUAAUCGCAGGUCAGCAUACUGCGGUGAAUUCGUUCCCGG
RNAcentral lists this ribosomal RNA (399 nucleotides) under uncultured Pleurocapsales cyanobacterium. RNAcentral's name for it is "bacterial SSU rRNA". It matches the Rfam family "Bacterial small subunit ribosomal RNA", at positions 978 to 1377 of the family's 1533-position model. Lineage: Bacteria; Bacillati; Cyanobacteriota; Cyanophyceae; Pleurocapsales. The record is from RNAcentral.